GUAGGGGGCAAGCGUUGUCCGGAAUUAUUGGGCGUAAAGCGCGCGCAGGCGGUCUCUUAAGUCUGAUGUGAAAGCCCACGGGCUCAACCGUGGAGGGUCAUUGGAAACUGGGAGACUUGAGUGUAGGAGAGGAAAGUGGAAUUCCACGUGUAGCGGUGAAAUGCGUAGAUAUGUGGAGGAACACCAGUGGCGAAGGCGACUUUCUGGCCUACAACUGACGCUGAGGCGCGAAAGCGUGGGGAGCAAACAGGAUUAGAUACCCUGGUAGUCCACGCUGUAAACGAUGAGUGCUAGGUGUUAGGGGUUUCGAUGCCCUUAGUGCCGAAGUUAACACAUUAAGCACUCCGCCUGGGGAGUACGGCCGCAAGGCUG
This 372-nucleotide ribosomal RNA is filed under the name uncultured organism. Its description in RNAcentral is "partial 16S ribosomal RNA". It matches the Rfam family "Bacterial small subunit ribosomal RNA", at positions 527 to 896 of the family's 1533-position model. The record is from RNAcentral.